This is a non-coding RNA of Acanthosepion pharaonis, 99 nucleotides long. The record is from the annotation of a GenBank genome assembly. Lineage: Eukaryota; Metazoa; Mollusca; Cephalopoda; Sepiida; Sepiidae.
GUUGAAACACCAGUUCCUGUACAAUCACCACAGUUAAGCAACAUUGAACUUGGUCAGUACUUAGAUAGGUGACCACUUGGGAAUAGCAGGUGCUGUAAG